Molecule: transfer RNA, 63 nt
Filed under: Sinochlora szechwanensis
Lineage: Eukaryota; Metazoa; Arthropoda; Insecta; Orthoptera; Tettigoniidae
Also listed under: 1 other name
Description: tRNA-Phe
Source: RNAcentral
ACUUAAGUAGCUUAUUAGAGCAUAACAUUGAAGCUGUUAAGGAGGUAAUAUUAUCCUUAAGUA